Molecule: ribosomal RNA, 490 nt
Filed under: uncultured bacterium
Lineage: Bacteria
Description: partial 16S ribosomal RNA
Rfam family: Bacterial small subunit ribosomal RNA
Source: RNAcentral
AUUGAACGCUGGCGGCAGGCCUAACACAUGCAAGUCGAACGGUAACAGGAAGAAGCUUGCUUCUUUGCUGACGAGUGGCGGACGGGCGAGUAAUGUCUGGGAAACUGCCUGAUGGAGGGGGAUAACUACUGGAAACGGUAGCUAAUACCGCAUAACGUCGCAAGACCAAAAAGGGGGACCUUCGGGCCUCUUGCCAUCGGAUGUGCCCAGAUGGGAUUAGCUAGUAGGUGGGGUAACGGCUCACCUAGGCGACGAUCCCUAGCUGGUCUGAGAGGAUGACCAGCCACACUGGAACUGAGACACGGUCCAGACUCCUACGGGAGGCAGCAGUGGGGAAUAUUGCACAAUGGGCGCAAGCCUGAUGCAGCCAUGCCGCGUGUAUGAAGAAGGCCUUCGGGUUGUAAAGUACUUUCAGCGGGGAGGAAGGGAGUAAAGUUAAUACCUUUGCUCAUUGACGUUACCCGCAGAAGAAGCACCGGCUAACUCCGUG